Molecule: ribosomal RNA, 465 nt
Filed under: uncultured bacterium
Lineage: Bacteria
Description: partial 16S ribosomal RNA
Rfam family: Bacterial small subunit ribosomal RNA
Source: RNAcentral
CCUACGGGUGGCAGCAGUGGGGAAUUUUGGACAAUGGGCGUAAGGCUGAUCCAGCUAUUCCGCGUGUGGGAUGAAGGCCCUAGGGGUGGAAACCACUUUUUUAGAGGACGAAAAGACACCUUCGAAUAAAGGGUGUUGCUGACGGUACUCUAAGAAUACGGACCGGCUAACUACGUGCCAGCAGCUGGGGGAAUACGUAGGGUGCGAGCGUUAAUCGGAAUUACUUGGCGUAAAGGUGGCGCAGGCGGUUGGUUAAGACAGAAGUGAAAGCCCCGAGCUUAACUCGGGAUGGGCAGAUGUGACUGGUCGACUAGAGUGUGUGAGAGGUAGGUGGAAUUCCACGUGUAGCAGUGAAAUGCGUAGAUAUGUGGAAGAACACCGAUGGCGAAGGCAGCCUCCUGGGACAUAACUGACGCUCAGGCACGAAAGCGUGGGGAGCGAACAGGAUUAGAUACCCUUGUAGUC